This is a non-coding RNA of Oceanobacillus oncorhynchi, 70 nucleotides long. The record is from Rfam. NCBI's taxonomy places the organism in Bacteria, Bacillati, Bacillota, Bacilli, Caryophanales, Bacillaceae.
AAGCUGGUCGAAAAAGGUUUAUCGUGAGAAGUCAGCCGAUGCCGUAGUAGUGAUGAAAAUCAUGAAGGGC